UGUAAGUUGAAAAUCAGUGAGACGGCACGGUUUUGGAGAGGGAGAACCUUUCAUACGUUUCCUUAGGAGCAAGCUCCUCCCAGAUUCCUGCUGAUGCGCCUCAUGACAUUAUUUAUUGACGCUUCACAUAUGGAGAGAGCUGAGGAACCUUGAACAGUUAAUACAGCCUCUCUGGAGAACUCGACGAUGGAAAACCUCAACAGACAGAAGGAAACCGUAUUCAGCCUGGUGCAGGUGAAGGGGACGUGGAAACGCAAAGCAGGGCAAAAUGUGAAGCAAGGAAUAAAAGGACGAGUGUCAGCUGCCAAAAUUUACGAAAGCACCUCCUCUAGUGGCACCACCUGGACAGUGGUCACCCCCAUCACCUUCACAUAUACAGUUACUCAGACCAAAAACCUUCUUGACCCCAGCAAUGACACUCUGCUUUUGGGCCACAUCAGAGACAAUGAGCAGCUUGAGGCCGUACGGUCCAGCACCAAGCCCUUAAAACGGUUCAUAGUCAUGGAUGAGGUAGUAUACAAUCUCUAUGGUUCUCAGAUCACCGACUACCUCGAGGCCAGACACGUCCUGUACCAGAUCCUGCCCCUGCCCACGACGGAGGAGAACAAGUCCAUGGAAAUGGCCCUGAAGAUCCUGGAGGAAGUCCACCAGUUUGGCAUCGAUCGGCGCACUGAGCCCAUCAUCGCCAUCGGAGGUGGGGUCUGCCUGGAUAUCGUGGGUCUCGCAGCGUCCCUCUACAGAAGGCGCACUCCAUACAUUCGCGUUCCCACUACCCUUUUGUCAUACAUUGAUGCAAGCGUCGGAGCAAAGACGGGUGUUAAUUUCGCAAAUUGCAAGAAUAAGCUAGGCACCUACAUCGCACCUGUUGCUGCCUUUUUGGACAGGUCGUUUAUACAGACAAUUCCUCGCAGACACAUAUCUAAUGGUCUUGCAGAAAUGUUGAAGAUGGCUCUGAUGAAGCACAGAGGGCUGUUUGAACUUCUGGAAACGCAGGGGCAGUUCCUUUUAGACUCCAAGUUCCAAUCCGGGUUGGUUCUAGAAGACGACCGCAUUGACCCUGCUUCUGUUUCUACACGUGUCGCCAUAGAAACCAUGUUAGAAGAAUUGGCUCCAAACCUGUGGGAAGAUGAUCUAGACAGACUCGUUGACUUCGGUCACCUGAUCAGCCCAGAACUAGAGAUGAAAGUCCUACCAGCUUUACUCCACGGUGAGGCAGUAAAUAUCGAUAUGUCCUACAUGGUGUAUGUGGCGUGUGAGAUGGGGUUUCUCACAGAGCAGGAGAAGUUCAGGAUCGUCUGUUGCAUGCUGGGACUGGAGUUGCCGGUGUGGCAUCAAGACUGCACCUUUGCUUUGGUUCAGAAAUCUCUGUGUGACAGACUACAGCACUCCGGAGGGUUUGUGAGAAUGCCUUUACCAACANNCCUCGGAAGAGCAGAAAUCUUCAACGACACUGAUGAAGGCACUCUGUUCCAGGCGUACGAGAAGUGGUGCGAUGAACUGAGCACUGGUUCACUUCAAUGAGACUUCAGCCAAUGUUUACAUAUAGGGGAGCCUCUUAGCUUUAACAAUUUAUACGCAUGAAUAAAUGGAUAGAUUUUGUUUCCUUUUUAUUUUGUAUACAUUUAAGUGUUUUACAUUUAAAACAAUUGCUUCUCAUUACUAUAAUUGCCAUUUUUGUAAAUGGCUGUGAAUAGAAGAAGGCUGACUUGAUAUGUGAAGAUUUUUCUUUAGUUGUGUUUAAGGGUUUCUUUCCCAUCAUUUCAUAUUUGAUAAAGGGACAUUUAGGUUAAUAAUUAAAUCAUUUAUUAAAAUGUGAAAAAUUCUGCCUGAUGUGUUGGAUGUAAUGCAUGCAAGUUUAUAAUAAACAAUUUACUUAUUAACAACGUCUCUGUUAUGAUGAGAAAGAUGUAUUAUGUUUCACAGCAUCAUGAAAACCGUCACAAAUACCACAGAUAUGUGUGGAAAACAUGACACCAUUGGUCUGGUAUUCAAUAUAUGUCCUCUUGUGUUUAU
Molecule: long non-coding RNA, 2013 nt
Filed under: Sinocyclocheilus anshuiensis
Lineage: Eukaryota; Metazoa; Chordata; Actinopteri; Cypriniformes; Cyprinidae
Description: lncRNA (ENSSANG00000024795.1)
Source: RNAcentral